This 224-nucleotide ribosomal RNA is filed under the name Klebsiella pneumoniae. RNAcentral describes it as "partial 23S ribosomal RNA". It matches the Rfam family "Bacterial large subunit ribosomal RNA", at positions 1 to 232 of the family's 2925-position model. Lineage: Bacteria; Pseudomonadati; Pseudomonadota; Gammaproteobacteria; Enterobacterales; Enterobacteriaceae. The record is from RNAcentral.
CGACUAAGCGUACACGGUGGAUGCCCUGGCAGUCCGAGUCUUGGAAGGGCGUGCCAAGCUGCGAAAAGCGUCGGUAAGGUGAUAUGAACCGUUAUAGCCGGCGAUGUCCGAAUGGGGAAACCCAGUGCAAUUCGUUGCACUAUCGUUAACUGAAUACAUAGGUUAACGAGGCGAACCGGGGGAACUGAAACAUCUAAGUACCCCGAGGAAAAGAAAUCAACCGA